GGCUUAGAGUUUGAUCCUGGCUCAGAUUGAACGCUGGCGGCAUGCCUUACACAUGCAAGUCGAACGGCAGCACGGGGGCAACCCUGGUGGCGAGUGGCGAACGGGUGAGUAAUACAUCGGAACGUGUCCUGGAGUGGGGGAUAGCCCGGCGAAAGCCGGAUUAAUACCGCAUACGCUCGAGAGAGGAAAGCGGGGGAUCUUCGGACCUCGCGCUCGAGGGGCGGCCGAUGGCGGAUUAGCUAGUUGGUAGGGUAAAGGCCUACCAAGGCGACGAUCCGUAGCUGGUCUGAGAGGACGGCCAGCCACACUGGGACUGAGACACGGCCCAGACUCCUACGGGAGGCAGCAGUGGGGAAUUUUGGACAAUGGGGGCAACCCUGAUCCAGCAAUGCCGCGUGUGUGAAGAAGGCCUUCGGGUUGUAAANAAACUUUUGUCCGGAAAGAAAUCCUCUGGGUUAAUGCCUCGGGGGGAUGUUU
This 477-nucleotide ribosomal RNA is filed under the name uncultured bacterium. RNAcentral's name for it is "SSU rRNA". It matches the Rfam family "Bacterial small subunit ribosomal RNA", at positions 1 to 477 of the family's 1533-position model. The record is from RNAcentral.